GGUAAUUAAGCUACAGUGAACCUCUACUAAUGAUGCCAUGUCACCUCGGUUACUGUCGAUAAACUCGCGUUAGUUUAAAACUGAUUCAAAUUUGAAUUUGAAUUAAAGUCAAACAAUAAAACAUUAAAGCUAAAAUGUUCUGGAUGUGACAAAUAAAUCAUAGGCACGUAUGGUUUUUUUUAUCGUGAACAGUAGGAAAGGCUCCUACUGUGUAGUUAUAUUAAUAAGAUAAAGGUAUCACUGUACAAAGUGGGGUAUUUACAUGGGGGAAAGGAGGGCUUAACCAGUUUGGGCCAAGCAGGGGGGAGGGGGACCAAGUACAAGAGUGAGGGUUUAGUGUAAGGAUCUAACAAAGUCUAGCACAAGAGGUUUAUGGGCCUCUUUGACCCUAUGUUGGAGGAUUUCAAAAUAUUUCUUGAAUCUAUCGAGCCAGGAACGGUAGGAGGGGACAAUCGCUCUGAAGUGUUUGUUAUUUCGUUCCUUCCAAAUACUCCACGCCACCACAAUGAAUUUUUCAAGAAACAUCGGCGUGGGGUGGUUGUUUUUUCUAAUCUAAAAGGGCUUGCAUCCGUCCCGAGAAAGGUUCCAAAUUUAUGUCUAGAGUUGCCCAACAUUGUCAACUGAAAGAGCAUGUGAAUAUCAUGUGCUCAACCAUUUCUUCAAUAUUCCUUCCACAGGGAAGGCAGUUGUGGUCGUCCUCGAUGUUGUAGUGACGUCUCUUGAGCAUAUUCCGGGUAUUGAGUCUGUCAUUGAACAGUAGCCAAGCAAAAAAUCUUCAGUUUCAUCGUGCACUUGGAUUUCCAGAGCCACCCAAAGAUCUGAUGGGAUUGGGUCUCUCUGAAGAAGAACUUGUAAUAAUAUGUGCAUUUGAAAAUGGUUUUGCCCCAAAUAUAGUGUCAGACAUCCGACGAGGCAGUCAUUGGUUGGAAGGCUGAUGCAAUCACUUGCAUGUCCCUGAUCUCAUCAUGUGCCUGGGGGGAUAGUGCUAGAUGGAAGGCCGCUUGCAGUGACGUGAUCCCCAAGAAAUCCUUUACGUGUAUGUCCUCGUUAGUUGCAUGUGAGAAGGCACGUGGGUGGGACUCCUGUAAUAAAUGAUCAGCCCAUAAAUCCUUCCAGAAGAGUGUCGUCGUGCCACAUACUAUGUUGACGCGAGAGACCCCUCGGAAAAUUAGGGUGAGUUUAAGCAUGUCCCGCCACCAGAAGGACCCCACUGGAUCCGUGGCGUGUGGAAUUUUCUGAGCAUAGUAAGUGUCCCAAGUAAGUUGCACCCAGGGGAUAUCCAACUUGUUACAGAAUUUGUGUAGAAACUUCAUGAGGAGGGCAUCAUUUUUGAUCUUUAGGUUUAUCACACCGAGUCCUCCAUUGUUUUGGGGUUUACAUACCAUAUCCCAAGCAGCUAAGGAGUUGCACUUGUCACCUUGGUCUGUCUUUUUGGUCCAGAGGCAUCUUCUUCUGAUUUUGUCAAGUAUUUCAAUGAGUUUCAGGGGAAACUUGAGCGUGCACAUUGCAUAUAUGAGUAAAGACAUGACUGUUGUGUUGAGUAAGGUGAGCUUCCCGGCGUCGGACAUAAGUGAGAGAGUGGAGGACAAGUUUCGUUCAACCGAGCUGACAAGUGGCAUGAAAUCUUGUAGCGUGGGGCGGGAGGUACCAAGGGGGAGGCCAAGAUAUGUAAAGGGCAUAUAGCCAAUUGAACAUCCAAAAAUCAUGGCAAUGUUGGUGGCCAGCUCCGAAUCCAAGUUGAUAGGGAUGAGUGUUGACUUGUGAAAGUUGAUUUUCAGUCCGAUGGACUUUGCAUAGUCAGACAGUAUGGUUUUGAUGAUUGUUGCUUGUCUAGGAUAGGCAGGCAAGAGUAGGAGUGUGUCGUCUGCAUAUUGGAUGAUUGGAUAGUCCAUGUGUCCAUUAGAUGGAAAAGGCAAUUCAAUUAGACCUCUUCUAUAGGCGUCAUUGAUGGCUGAUUGAAGAAGAUCUGCAGACAAAACAAAGAUUAGAGGGGAUAGUGGAUCGCCCUAUCGUCGGCGACAGUGAAAUUGUCGGCCCGGGACUCCAUUGAGCAGAAUAGAUGAUCGUCCAGAGGAAAAAAUAGAUUGAAUACACGAGAGCCAUUUGUCAUUGAAACCCAUGUGCUUCAUCAUAUUGAUCAUUGGAUCAUGUUCAAUUGUGUCAAAGGCUUUUGCAAAAUCCAAUUUUAAGAGGAUAAUUUUUCGUUCGGAGGCUUGGCAUUGAUGGAUGUAUUGAAAAGUCCAGGCAAUCUUGGAUGGAGCGCCCACAAAUGAAAUUGUACUGAUUACGAUGUAUGAUUCUUAGGAUAACCUUUUGUAGUCGGUUGGCAAGGAGCUUUGUAAUGAUUUUGAGGCAACAAUUAAGUAAUGUGAUCGACCAGUAAUCGUUUACCGUGGACGGGGACCCAAUCUUCGGGAUGAGGGUGAUUAAACCAUCAUUUAUGCUUUGGAUGUAAGGUCACCUGCAUGAAAUUGAGCACAAAGGGUAUAGAAGUCCUUUUUGAUAAUUGGCCAGCAAGCCUUGAGGAAUAGGCCACUGAAACCAUCUGGGCCUGGUGCGCGGUCAGCAGGCAUUUCCUUGACAACCGAGUCAAUUUCCUCAUUGGUAAAUGGCAACGUGAGGUGUUCUAGGUUCUCUGUCGGUCGGAUUAGUGAUGGUAGAUCAAACUUCAUCGUUGUGGGAUUGGAAGUGCCAAGUCUUUUAGUGUAAGCUUGGAAUAGAAGUGAUUCUUUGCCCGUAUGAUCUUCCACCAUCAGGCCAUCCGUAGUUUGAAGAGUAGUGAUGUUGUUUUUCCUGUAUCUUUCUGUUGCAGUAGCUUGGAAGAACUUGGUAUUCUCAUCUACAAAUUUAACCCAUCGUAUGGUGCACCUCUUUUUCCAAUAUUGUUUCUGAUAGUCCAACAGUCUGAGUAGAUGAUUUUUGAUGAUCUUGCAAAAGUGACAUUCAGGCAUUGUGAGAGUUUUGAGAUUCUCAAGCUCAUCCAGGUCAGUCAAGGUUUUGUUGGUAUUCUCAAUAGCCACCGAUAACUGAGAGAUAUUUUUGCUCCAUGCUUUUAAUUCUUGUCGUAAAAGUUUAAACUUGCGGCAAAGGAUCAUGGCAGCAUUUGUUGAGUUGAUAGGCCCAUACUUUUUUGACCAAGGCCAUAAAGCCAGGAUGAAGCAGCCAAUAUGACUCGAAUCUGAAAAGUUUGGCACGUGGAAUCUUUGUUUCAAUGUUUACCACACAUGGAGUAUGAUCCUAGACUGGUUUGCAAAGUGGUUUAACUAGCGUGUUGGGGUAUACGUGUGUCCAGUGGAGCGAGGUAAAGAACCAGUCCAGUUGCUCGAGUAAUGGGUCUUGUUGCAUGUUACUCCAGGUGUAGAGACAUCCCUUAAGUGGUUGAUCAAUUAAGUUAUGUUUGCGGAUGAUGUCAUUAAAAGUGGACAUGUCAUGAGGAUCCCCUCCAGGUUUAUUACGAUUGUCCGGGAUCCGAAUGUCAUUAAAAUCACCAAGGAGGAGACAAUCAUCAUCUGUUUGAAUGUCCAGAUCAUACAACCAUUGGGUGAAGUCAUCACGAGCAGGACCCGUGCAUGGGCCAUAAAUGUUAUAUAAAGUCCAGGUUUGAACAGAGAGUGUACUGGUGAAUUUGAUGCCCAAAACAAAAUCCUCAGAAACAGAAACCUCACAAGAAAAGACCGAACUAUUCCAAAUGAUGAGCAGGCCACCCGAGGCACCUCUCGACGGGACAUAAGCGAAUUUAUCAAACCGCUUGGGGCAAUAGGUUUUUAUAAAAGCAAGGUCGAUGCAAGGUUUCUUAGUUUCCUGCAGACAUAUGAUAGCACAACCACUAACAGAUAUAGCAUUAGACAAGGCUAAGAGUUUUUUUAUCGGAAUUUAAACCACGAAUAUUCCAACAUAGAACGUUCCAGCUGCACAAAGGAGGCAUAGGGCCGCCGCAAUUUAUUCAGAAGAGGAGGAUUCCUCCCCCGUGUUGAUAUCUUGAGCUUCAGAAGCUUCAGGGGCCAGCAAUGCUGCAAUAGUCAGUUCCUGAGGUGGGACAGCACAACGGUGGAUACCUAUAUCCUGCAUGAUGUAGAGCACCAUAUGCGGUGGUGCUUGGGCUGCAGCAGCUGAAGAGGAGCCUGGAACCGCAGAAGGGAUCUGCCGUGGCUGGACCUUGGAAGUAGUAGCUCGAGUAUCAGUCAAUUGAGGCACUCUGAAGCCAUCAUAGCGAGUGGAGCGGGUACUGCGGCACACUUCAGUGGUCAACAGAGGAACUUGGUAUUUUGAGCCACGUGAGCAAGCAGAUGAUGGGCCUGGAGCAGUGGGUAGCACCUGGGCCAAGCCCAUAUCAGAAGAUGCCUCCGAGGACUACGACAAAGUGUGACGCCCAAUGUUUGAAGAAGUAUUUGGCGUGAAAGCAUGCAUUUCCUCUUGCAUACUAGGAUUGUCCUCCUCACCCAGAAAAUCAAGGGGUGGCACCAUAUCAGAAUCAGCAGCAAGCUGAGGAGGAUCACUAUGAGAGUUCUCCAAACCAGGAACCUGAUUUAGAACAGGUUCUUCAGACAGAAGUUCAGUAAUUUGGACAGUAGAAGUCCUUGGUGUUUCAGACAGAAUGCGGGGGGAGAAGCACACCAUAAUCCCAACCUCUCUUCAUUGUCAACUUGGAAACUAGUAGUAGGAGUUGGCAUUUGCAUAUUCAGGGGAGGAAGACCAUAACCAGAGCUCCAUGGGCCAUAAGAAGCAACCACACUCAUAAUAGACCUUGAGAGGUAGGCAGUGAAGACGUUGCGGGGAAUCAGAUCACUGAGAAGCACAUGAGUCAGGUCAUUGCCUUGUAUAGAGAUGCUCACGUGUAAAGUAACAACCGACACUGCAACAUCCAUAGAUACAACUUCUUGCCUAGCCGAAAUGACGAGCAGAGUGGUAGCAGAGGGAUGAGGCGCCUGAGAGGAACCAUGAGUGUUGGCAGUUGAGCUGGAAUCCCAAGAAGAAUUGAGGCUGUUAGUCACAUUGUCUUCAGGUAAGAUACCAUCUUGGGACUAUCAGACCUUGAGCUGCUAGCCAGGACUGGAAAUUAACAAGGGCAGCCAGCAUUUGUGCAACUAGUGGUGCAGGCCAGGCAUCCCAUGAAGCAGGUUGAGGAUCAUCUUGGUGAGCAACACUGUGCGGGCCAUCGUUUCCAAUCCCGUUCUGAAUGAGCCAAUUCUGCAACUGUUGUUGAUACAGUUGUUCCGCCAUGAGCCCAUCACCGAACAUGGGAUGGGGGAUUCCAUUAGCCGGUGGCGGCCCUUCAUCCACCGGUGGCACUUCUGGGUCAUGAGCAUUCCAGUCAGCACCCCCCAAAAUAAACAAAGCAACAGUCCAGUAGGCUCGAUCUCCUCCUAACCGAUGAACCGCAAUACUCUUGGGGAUCAGACGCAUAUGAAUCACCCUGACUUUGAUCAACACCACUCUAUGAUCUAUGUUCGGAUUGUUCCACGAAACCAAUCUAUCAUAAUCAUCUACUGAGCGCUGAAGAUAGAAAUCAGUCUGAUAAUCAUCCGGAAAGCCAAUAUACAUCAACCAAACCUUAGGCCCAUAAGUGGUGUUGCGCAUGUUGAGGGCAGCAUUGUGUCUAACAAAUGAGAUUACCAUAUCUUCAUCGUCAAGUUGGAAAGUAGUGUUCACGGCAGUAUAUUUGAUGAAGGAGUUGGCAAAUGCAAACAUACUGAUGUCGAGGGGAUGAUCCGAAGCUUCUGUGCCGUGCAGCCCUGCUUCAUGAAGGAGGCCCUCAAUGGUGUCGCGGAGUCCCUCCCAGAGAUGCAGUGGCACAAAUCUGCUCACCUCAGCAAUGGCAAGGAAGCUGUUGUUCAGUGGGGGGUGGGGGUGGGAUUGACAACCAUGUCCGCGCAGAUCUUCCAUUCAGCUGGCCCAGGCUCGACAGACCAGCCCGGCGGUAGGAAGGGGAUGGGGUUCACCGAAUAGUUCGCCAUGGUGGUGAGAGUGGCGGAGUAGACGGUGUGGUCGGUGGAUGGUGCUGGAGGGGCUAGAGCAAAGGGCUCUGCUUCAUUGGGAAGCGGGGCAGGCUGGGGAAGGGAAUGCGAGUCAUCCGGAGUGGGGAGUGUUUUUGGUCGCCACUGCCAUCCUUGGGCCCAGCGACGCCGCCAACGGGAGGGAGCCAGAUGUCCAUAGUGACCACAGAUAUUGCAUCGGACGGCUGAGGCAGGGCGGCUGAUCGGUCCAAUGAGGGGGCAGGAGUGAGGCAUUAAAGGAGGUCUAUUGAUUUGCUGCCUGCCCCAGGCUGAUGUGACCGGAUUAUGAAGAUCAGUUGCCAUAAUACAAUUACUGAGGUUAGAAGGGCAUUUUCUGGUAGGGCAAUUAAUGCUUUUGUGUCUCGGAGCGGAGCAAUUUAAGCAAAUAAUCCGGGCUUGAUAGUUAUUUUUAUGAUGACCCCAUUGUAGACAUUUAGAGGAUAGAAUACCCCAGUAUUUUAUAAGAUCCGAAACUUCCUUUUCAGAAUGUCCCGCUUGUGACAAAUCAGCAACAUGAGAUUUGGAUAGUGAUGGCGGCCAAGAUGUGUGCGUCGGGGCAUACCUUAGUGCAGAGGUAAGGAAACAUUGAGGUAAUUGAGGAUAUGCCAUUAUUGUGGAAAAACAGAAAUUGCCAAUUGCAAUUGAAUGCUCAGAAUAUUCCAUUUGUUGUGAGGAGCAUUGAAUGUCCCCAUGCAUGGGAUCCAGACUGACUGUUCCUCCUGUCAGCGUAUGCAAACUCGAAUGAUGCGAGGAAGAACAUGAAGCUUCUUUGUGAUUCUUGUCAUGAAAAUCCAUGGAUGCGAGCGGAGUGAUAGUAAACUUAAUGAGCUCCCUGGAGGAGUCAUUAGCUGCAGCCGUAUCAUUGAAAAUUGACUUGUUGCACCGAAUGGCCACAGCGCUGCAGAUAGCAAUGGGCUCACGCCGUUCAUCCGCAUGCCAUUGAGUAUCAAAAUGCUUGUAUCCAUUGAAACGGCCAUUGAACAGAUGAAACUGACAAAUGAAAUCUGGCCAAAUGCGGUCCUUGAGGCCAUGAAUGAAAUGACCCACUUUGUUACCAGCCACUGAGAACCGAAAUGAUCUGUCACUGAGCUUUGAAACCUUCAAACCUUUCGGAUGUCCACCAAUGCAACAUUGCAAGGCCACACCCAUAGAAUCUUUAGAGAGAGGAAACGAGGCCGAAGAGAAAGAAACUACCAAGAAAAAUUCCUUGGUGUUGCGAGAUGGUGAGAAAUGAACCGUUCUCCAAACCUUCGACGUACCUGAUCUGCCACGGCCAGGCCAGGAUUGAAAUCCCAAUGGAGAAGGCCUUCCAUGGUGGAAAUUAUUGGCUAGAUUCAUGGCUGGUGGAAAGCAGGUGGGAGGAGGAGAGGGAGGUGGAGCCAUACUACUAGGCUUUCCCUAUAGGCACGUAUGGUGAAGAAACCACAUUUUAAUAAAAUGCCUAAAUGCUCUAAAAUAAACAAAACAACAGUAAAAACAAAUAAUUAAAUGUCUGUUAUAAAGUUAUAAAAAUAUAAGCUGAUAUUUGGAGUGCCAACCUUUUUGUGGCAGCACCUAAUAUUGCAAUACUAAUUAGGUGUCCAUCUCCACAAAUUAUAAAACUCAUUUGCUAAUUGGUUUAAGUGAAAAACAUAGACUCAAAAAAGUAAAAUAGAAAAGAAAUAAGAUAAACAGAAUGCACUACCGUGCACUUUUACCCAGUGUGAACAGUUGCUAGCCCAGCCCACCACCGCAUCAUCUCUUUCCCCUGUUCACCAGAGGCGUCGUGGACGUAGCACGCACGUCGACACCGCCGAUCUCCACGCAUCGUCCAUCCUGCAUGCUCCACACAUGGAUAAGACCACCCUAGGACCCUGAGGCGAAACCCUAGAUCGCCUCCCCUCCCUGCUCUCGCCCCGUUCCUUGCUCGAUGUCUUUGUCGUCACCGCCAUGGACCACACGCUCCCCGUCGUCUUCCAACCCCGUGAGCAUGUCCAAGCGCUCCGUCGUGCUCCUCCACGUCGGAUGCUCUCUCAAGAUCAAGCCAGGACGCCGUCGUGCUUUGGAAUCGACUACCUCUUCCUUCUUCGGUCAUCGGAGAUCCCUGCCGAACCCACAGCCAUCUACUGCUACUAAGCUUCUCGCCGAGCUCCUUGAGCUCAUUUGGUGAGCACCGCCGCUCCUGCCUCCCCUCCUGAGCUUCGUCUCCUCCUCUAGCUAGGUGGCCGCAACCGCCGGCUCUGCCGUCCGCCGUGAGCGAAGAACUGCUUGAUGCCGAGUAGCCCGAGCCCACUCCUGCUGCCUGUCAUGCUCUGGGAGCUCCCAGUAGUCCACCUAGCCGCUCGCUACGCUCGGAGACGAGCCGUAGCAGCAUGUUCGCGCGCUCCCGAACACCAGUCGCCGCCUCGCUCGCUGACACCGCCACCACCGGCUACCCCGCGCCCUCCCAUUGCCUCUGUUGGAUGCGCCUCACCGCCAGCUUGCCGUAGGGCCCUUCACCUCGCAUUUCCAAGCCCCGCAGCCCUCACGCCCUUCGCAACCACUGCACGUCCGCCUCUUUGCCCAACACCGUCCAACGCGCCUCCUCCUCUGUCGUUGCUGCUACGCGGCUGCUGCGCUGCCGCUCGACGCUAUCGUCCCUUGCUUCCGCUUGCCGCCCGCUACCGCUGCGACCCCAGGCCGCGCGCCGUCGCCGUGCCCUUACCCGCGUCCACGCCCGUUACCUAACUGCGCCCCGCACUCACCAUGCCCCGGCCGUCCUCUGCUCUCCCCAAGCGCGCCCGCGACCCGCUGGAUGAGCCCACGCUCACGCCCCUGUUCGCCGCGCAACGCCGACCGCGGCCAUCGCCCCCGGCUGCCUGCGCCCACCGCCGUCUCCGCCCCGCGCCACCUGGCCGCGUUCGCCAGGGCCGCCAUCGUCGUCCGGGGCCUCACCCACUCCCGUUGCGUCUGCCAUCCGCCGCGGCAGCCCUCUCCGCUAACCGUGCCGCCCUGCUCCGGCCGUCGAUUCCUGGCCGCGCGCUCGCUCCUUCGCCCACCGCCCUGCGGCGCCAUGUCGGGCUGGCGCUUGUUGCCCGAUCCGCCUAGCGCCUGUAACCCUUGGCCCACUAAGGCCCUGGGGCCUAUGACAAGGUGCCCCACCCCAGAACGAUUAGAAAAGAAAGGGAAAAAAGAAUUUAAAAAAUAAAUAAUAAUUGAAAUAUUAAUUAAUUAAUUAAUUAACUUAGUUCACCUUGAUUAGAUUAACCUAAUCACUAGUUAACUGAAUUAAACCCUGAUUAGCCUGAUCAGUGAGUGACAUGCGGACCCCACAUGUCGGUUUGACCCAGUCAACACCUCUGUUGACUGCUGAUGUCAUGCCAACGUCAUGCUAAUGUAGUAAUGCUGAUUUCGAAUUAAUUUAGUAAUAAUAAUUUAGAUAAUGAUUUAAAACUUUAAAAAUUAAUAUAAAAUAAUCCGUAACUCGGAUGAAAAUACUUUGUACAUGAAAGUUGCUCAACACGAUAAGACGAAUCCGGAUACGCAACCCGUUCGUCCGCCACACAUCCCUCGCAUAGCGAACACACAACUUUCCCCCUCCUGUUCAUCUAUCUGAAAACGCGAAACACCGGGGAUAGUUUCCCGGAUGUUUCCCCCCUUCGCCGGUAUCACCUCCUACUGCGUUAGGGCACACCUGGCACCGUUACUUGUCAUGUCAUGCAUCGAUAUGCAUCUGUUUGCAUUGUAUUCAUUGUUUCUUCCCCCUCUUCUCUCCGGUAGACUACGAGACUGACGCCGCUGCUGGUGCCCUGAUCAACUAUGUUGUUGACGACCCAUCCUUGCCGGACGAAGCAGGUAAGCCCCCCUUGAUCAACCCGAUAUCGCCUAUUCUUCUCUAUACUGCUUGCAUUAGAGUAGUGUAGCAUGUUACCGUUUUCGAUUAAUCCUAUUCUGUUGCAUAGCUUGUCAUUGUUGCUACAGUUGUUGAUACCUUACCUGCAAUCCUAAAUGCUUAGUAUAGGAUGCUAGCAUUCCAUCAGUGGCCCUACAUUCUUGUCCAUCUGCCAUGCUAUACUAUCGGGCCGUGAUCACUAGGGAGGUGGUUACGGGUAUAUACUAUAUAUCUUAUACAUGAUACAUGUGAUGACUAAAGACCGGUUGGUUCUUAGAGUACCCGCGAGUGAUUCACGAAUUGGGGGCUGGAAGGACCUUUGUCCCGACGGCCCUCUGGGUGGAUCUUUGUGGUGAGCGACAGGGCAGGUUGAGACCACCUAGGAGAGAGGUGGGCCUGGCCCUGGUCGGCAUCCGCGGAUACUUCAAUUAACAUGCUUAACGAGAUAUUGGUAUUUGAUCUGAGUCUGGCCACUGGCCUAUACGCACUAACCAACUACGCGGGAACAGUUAUGGGCACUCGACGUCGUGGUAUCAGCCGAAGCCUUAUUGACGACAACGACUGAGCGGCGCGCGCCGGGUUGGACCAUGUAACGCAACUUCCUUUGUAAUGGAGGUUGCUAGGUCCGCUCACUAGCCGCAUACGCAACAUGCAGGUGUGCAAUGGGCGAUGGGCCCAGACCCCUGCGCGCUUAGGAUUUAGACCGGCGUGCUGACCUCUUUGUUGUGCCUAGGUGAGUCUGUGACGUGUUGAUUUUCCGAGGCCGGGCAUAACCCAGGAAAGUGUGUCUGGCCAGAGGGAUCGAGCGUGUUGGGUAAUGUGGUGCACCCCUGCAGGGAAGUUUAUCUAUUCGAAUAGCCGUGUCCCUCGGUAAAAGGAUGACCCGGAGUUGUACCUCGACCUUAUACACUACAAAAAAUACACUUCCAUGAUGAUACGUGUUUGUCACAGUAGGUCGCUUUUAUUGUCAUGCAUGUACAUCCAUGACAAAUUUAUGACAGAAUCAAGAUAGUCAUACAUGUGCUGUCGUAGAAGUGUUCCAUGACAUUACCAAAAUUAUCAUCACGGAAGUGUCCAAUUCCAUGAGGAUAAAUCGCGCGUCACAGAAGUGCUUUUGUCAAGGGUGACCGACACGUGGCAUCCACCGUAACGGAAUGCCGUUAAGCUAUCGGGUCGGGUUUUGGAUCCGAUAACCCGUUAACAGCCCCGACCAAUGGGGAUUUUCCAUGUGUAAAAUCAUCAUUGGCUAGAGGAAACACGUGUCGGCUCAUCGUCGGGACAGAUGUCAUCCACUCACUGGACGGAAGGCGCCUAUGAUACGUCGACACGUGGCACGGCCCAACAAGUUUAAAUGGGCCGGCCCAACUAAAGGCCCACAAGAUUUUGCGGACCAUAAUGGGCCGGCCCAGCUAAAGGCCCAUGAGAUUUUGCGGACCAUAAUGGGCUGGCCCAGCUAAAGGCCCACAAGAUUUUGCGGGCCAUAAUGGGCCGGCCCAGGUAAAGGCCCACAAGAUUUUUGUGUGCCGUAAUGGGCCGGCCCAGGUAAGGCCCACAAGAUUCUUGUGGAUCAUAAUGGGCCGGCCUAGCUAAAGGCCCACGAGAUUUCGCCGACAUUAAUGGGCCGGCCCAGCUGUAGGCCCACAAGAUUUUGAUGACCCUAGUAGGCCGGCCCAUUAACUGCCUGCCAUGUUUUAGGCCAAAUGCCGGCCCAUAUUUGAUCCGGUCCAUUAUUUGCCUGCCACGCUCCGGGCCUAAUAGUGGCCCAUAUGAGAUCCGGCCCGUUAAAGGCCUACCACGUUCUGGGCCAAAUUACGGCCCAGAUCACGUCCGAUCCUUUAAGAGGCUUUGGGCUCAAUUAUGGCCCAUAUCAGAUUCGUCCCGUCAACUGGACACUAUGCUUUUGGGCCCACUUGCUAAAGGGCCACUUAGUAAUUCGGCCUGAUAUUAGUUUUGCCCUGUUAAGGCCCCGUUUAACAUUUCGGCCCUAUAUUAAUUUCAGCCUGUUAAAAGCCCGUCAUAUAGUUGGGCCUAACUACGGCCCGGUUUGCAUCUGGCCUGCUCGCAGCCGAUAUCUGAUUGGGCCAAACAAGGACCGAGACAAUUUUUUGGCCAGUUAAAAGCCCAUGAUUUGAUUCACACAAUCAUGGGUCGGGGUUCAUUUCGGGCUGCUGCCGGCCCGUGAGCUGUUCGACACGUUUUAGGCCCAACCUACAUCGUGAUUGCAUGACGGCCCGAUUAUGUACCGUAAUUUUACGGUUUGGCCGGUUUACUGCGAAGACAGGAUAUAUAUACAGUAAAAUAACUGCAACAUCGUGAAUAAGAAAAAACCUAGACUGUACAAUAAAGAAAUUACGGCAUAUUACAUCCACUGGGCAUCAAAGUUCGCCACUAUGAUAAUAAAGCAUAAGCAGACUACAGAUUACAUACACUGGGCAUCAAAGAUCGCCACCAGUGCAAAUAAACACACCGACAAAAUAAUAUACAAAACCGACAACACUUCAAUAGAGUUCAGGAAAGGUUAGCCCUGCUAGGGAGCUGCAGCGCAAGCAGCUGAGCAAGAUGAUGAGACUACGCUUGUUCAACACUUAUAUCUUCCUCACUCUGAAAGAUAAACAAGCAGACAGAUGACAUGUUUUGCACAUAAAAGUAUCAGUGCUGACAAUUCAUCACAUUUCUUACUGAUGAAUAAAGUGACACAGUUUAAAUUUGCAUUAACACAAUAUGGUAUUGUUCAGGUCAAGACAUGGCAGGAAAUGACAUUGUGAAGGAGUUGGCAGCUUCGCGACACCACUAGAUUACAGAUCAAGAACUCAUAAGUAUCAAUGGUUAGUGUGCUGUCAAUUUAUACCAUUCCAGAUUGGCAAAUAAAGAGACGAUUUAAAUAAUAGUAGAAUGAUAUGACAUUGUUCAUAGUUAAGACAUUGCAGAAUAUGACAUUGUGCUGUAGUGGGUAGGUUCACCAUACCACUGGAUUACGGAUGAAGAACAGAAGCAUACAUGCAGUGCAAAAGAAGAUCACUUGCUCUGUAUAGUUUAAUUUACAUGGUAUGAAGAAGGAACUUGGUUGUACAACUGAAAACUUAAAUUGAGAAAGGACAAACUUUUGUUUAUGAACUACAUAUAAUAAACUUUAAACAAGCAAUUUGAUGCAAACACCAAAAAUAAACAGCUGUUGCAGUCAUGCCUAACCAAAUAUAUACAACAAAGUUUGAAGGCUUGAGAUGGACAAACUUACAUUAUUGGUGAAGAUAGGCUCUAUAAAGGCCUUGUCCAUGCUGAUGGGGGGGGGGCAAUUCAAGAAGUUUACCAUAGAAUCUUCUUCAAAAGCAUUGCCUUUAUUCUACAUUUUGUUAAGAGUAAAUAUAGAUGUGAUAAUAUACGAAAAAAUGGAGAAUAUUUAAGAUAAGAUGAAGAGUGAUGCUACAUAACCAAGUAGCUAUAAAUGUAAGUUCAGCGAUACAGGCAAAAGGUACAACCAAGAGCAAUGCACAGCUAAACUUCUUCAGUACCAAACUUAUGGUAAGAGUAAAUAUAGAUCUGAUGUGUAGAAAAUGGAGGGCAAAGGAAAAUAAGCUGCAGAGUGAUGGUACAUGAACAACUACCUGUCAUUAUAAGUACACUGAUAAAUGACAACAUGUAUUUACAAGAACAAUGCAGAGCUAAAAAAUCAUUGGCAUUGGAUAUAUUCUACACUAAUGUAACCAUUCAUACAGAUCAGAUAAUUUGGAGCGAACAAUUGAUAAGCAAGCUAUCAUGCAACUGUUGUCACAUAAUGAACCAGGUAUGUAUGCAAGUACAGUGAUACAGGACAACAGGUACUAACAAGAGCAAAGCAGCGGGCAGCAUAUUUGCGAUAUCCUGUCGUUCUUGUCAAACCGGAAUUCUUCUUCGAGCUGAUUUCCUGCAAAAAUGAUCCGUAAGGCACAUGCGGAAAAGUAGAAGUUCAAAUUGUCAUGUGAUUUCAUAGACAGUACCUCAUCCUAGGAACGAGACCAGUGCAUAACAUGGUUUUUCCAUUCAAUGUCUUCUAAAUUUAGCACAGGAGACUUCACCGGGAAUUCGUUUAUAGACUUGCCAUCAAAGUGUGAUUUCCUCAGGUAACACCGAUACUGCUGCAAUGCUUCCUUGAAAAGCACAAGCAAGCUUUGCUCGUCAUGACUAUCCAGAUUGACCCUCGCCUUGUUACAACAAUGUAAUGUAAAUCAUUGAUGUGUUCAAUCAGCAUAAAACAAGAACAUAAUAACCAUGAAUAAUAGCACUUACACGCAAGUUGGACAGGAAGAUGUGAAAAUGGUGUUUGUCUUCACAAUAAUCUUCUCAUGAUGGGAAUAUAUGCACAUAGUCCCUAACAACAUUGAAAGCAUUGUCUUUUAAACUGGGAAUAAAUGGAAUGGGGUUCCAAUCUGCAGGAAUUGGCCGUCUCUGCAGUUGGGAUAGGUCUUCGGCCGGUGGACUUGCUGUACUUUUUGCUGGAGUGGGAUUUUUCUGUGGUAGAACUGGUGCUAUGGCAAAUGAAAUCGGUAUACCUUUUGCUGGAGUGUAGGCCCUCUGUGGUGGGGCUAGUGGUGUGGCCAGUGAAGUAUGGGUACAGUCUACUGGAGUCAGUCCUAUGUUCUGUGUCACUAGUUGUACAACCAAUAUAAGUGGGGUGUUGUCUGAUUUCUCCAGCACCACCACGUUUUUCAGGGACUUUGCUGGUGCUCCUUCAGGUUCGGAAAUCACCCUCUUCCUUUUUGAUGUCUGAUGCACAAGAACAUCAUUUGAGUGGAAAAACAUGGUAUGAUGACAGAUGGAAUAUGUAUUGAUAAUGUAUGGGCAUGGCAUCUCGACAUAUAUGAUGAGUAAACUAAGCAGAUGGCGGUGCAACAAAGUAGAAGAAAUGCAAGACACCAUAUGCAAGAUACGCGCAAUCAAUAAAACCUUGCCAAAUUAGAACAGGCACCUUGAUGGGUGAAAAGGACAGGCCAUCUGCCUUUGACUCCUCGAGGUUAGAAUAGUCAUUAGGAUGAUAUUCUGAACAAGAAUCAAUAGGUGGGGACCGUAUGAGUUUCAUUGCUUCCAGAAUGGCACUCAAUGCCUUGCUGCCAAUUUUGUAAGUUAUUGCAGUGUUCCACAAUAUUCUUCUGAUGCACGGAUUCUGAUAUUCACUGUAAUUGCGUAUAAUAUCUGAGAACCAUGAAAACAUAAAUAGUUGUGAGAUUAUCUUUGUAAUGCAGAUGAUAUUCUAAUAUAGGGGCACCCCUGUAAACACUUGUGUGCUAUCACUGGAUUCUGAUGAGAGAGCUCAUGUGUGCUGUAAUAUGGUGCGUGCAUUUAUAUAAUCUGGCACAAGUACACAAAAAAAUAGGCUCUAGAAGUAAGGAUAGCUGGCAGAUGAUAGGUUCAUAAUAUACUGUAUAGAGAGUUUAUUGCCAAACCAUGAUAACAAGAGCACACAUCAACUAGGCAGAUCAUAGUGUACAUAACAGGGGUACACCAUAACCAGGAUAUAUAAAUCGGGAAAGUGGAACUGGCUGGAUAUUACGGUGUUGUAUUGCCGCUAGUAAUUGAAAGCCUAUCGAUCACGUACAAGCCAGCUCUAUCAGCUGUUGACUGCAGAUGUCCCUGCUCCCCUUCCUGACAAGUAACAUAUUAUGCUUCCCAUACAGAACACCGCACGGGCCGCCGACCGAACCACCGGCCCCACCGCUUGUGUUCCUCCGCCACCCCCACCCCCGCCCCCACCCACGUCGAGUUUUCUUCGUUCGACGAGGCCCCACCACCGCCUCCCACAACCACCAUCCCCACCCGAGCCCCUUCGAUCGCACCGGCGAACUCCGGCGAGCUCUGAAAAAUCGACUGACCCAAUUUUGAAAUUUAGUGUACUGUGAUUUAACUAGUGUGGAAUAUAAAAGGGGAAAACCAUAAGCAUUGUGAGUAUGGUGUUGAGCGUGCCAUGGCGGAUCUGAAAGUGCAAACCGGACAAAGGCAACUUCGCAACCAAGACAAGAAAUCAGAGUAAAGCAGUGGCGAUCUAUUUUCUUGCUGCGAUAAAUAAGUUGAGCAAAUACGAAAGAGUACCGCCUCUGGUGCGGCGCCGUGUAUGCAUCUGCUGAGAAUUUGACGGUGUUGCGGUAGCGAUGGCUGUCGGCGGCGUGGAAGCAUAUGUAGGAGGGUAGACGGUGGCGGUGGGGCGCGAUGGACGAGACGGUCGUAGGAGCGGCGCCGGCAAGGUGGACGACGGCGGGGAUGAAGCGAGAGGACGGGAUGCAAGGAUCCCGGUCCGAAGCCGUGGAUGAGAGAGGUCGAUCUCUUGUAAUGGACGGCGGCGUCGGGGUAUCAGCUCCGGCAUGGUGGAGGAGGACGGCGGUGGAUGGGGUGGCGGACGGUGGCAGACGGAGGAGGGUGGGCUGGAGAGGAUGUUUUGGCGCCCAUGAAGUACGAAUGGGGAAAAGGGAGGUAGAGAGGAAGGGGGGAACCAUGUAUUCAGGGCGCGCUUGUCUCAAAUGCGAGGAAAUUUACAAACUUAGCCCCCAUUUCAAAUUUCUACUACAUCACAGCAACACUAGUCGGUUGGGGAUAGGACGGUAAUCUCGCAUACACCGAAUAUUUGCCGACGAGAGUUUGUUUUUGGCGCCCACCAUGUAUGAAUAUGAAUCCGGGAGGGAGUCGAUUUCGGCCGAGGACACACUGUGUUUUGGUGCCCACCGUGUAUGAAUCCGGGUGAGAGGCAGUUACGUCACGUUUGGGUGAAAUUACAAACAUAUCCCUACCGAAACCUAUAGAAAUCCAGCAUAUAGGCUUUGCGUGGCAGGGAUAGGUAGUAGUGAUUUCCAUCUCGCAGAUUUUGGUUUCGGGUGGUUACUGCGACUUUCCCCCCUUCGUUCAAAUUUUGCAGAGUGCACGUUUACCAUGCCAACUCAAUUCGAAUCCCGUUUGUAUUCUAUUUUUUCGGGCAGGAUCCAUUUUCAAUUGGAAUUACAUUCUAUAUACAUCAUUUUUUAUAUAUACUUUCAAAAGCACAACACCAUUUAUACAUAAAUAUGGUUUACAAAUGGCAUGAUCUCAGAUUCAUAAGGUUGUAUCCAUCAAUUUGGAUUUUCAAAUAUUUGAAACCACUUUAUGUUGAAAUCCAAUGUAUGCAUUUCUCGCUAACUGUCUCCAAUUAAUGUGUGUUUCAUGUGGGUUUUUUUACUUCUCAAACAUGUAUAAUGUGUUUCACACACGCAACAUAUAGUGUAAUCCCGUUUAGACAUUAAUUGCAUAUAAACCAUGCAUUGUUUGUAAUUGAAGAAUCUAUGGAUCACCAAUAUUGAUAAACUAUAUAACAUUACACGUGUGCCCAAAUUCAAAUGAAUAUGCAUGUUUGAUACACCAAUUUGCGUGAUGAUAUUAUCGAUGUCGUGAUCUCCAGUUUAAAUAUUUGAAUCCCCUUUAAUCCAGAUAUUCAUCUCAUAUAGCUAUCACUCAUGCUUAUAUAGGACUAUCUCUCUGGACCUAUACGCGUUCAUCGUCUCUCAGGUAUCUCUCGUGCUACCUGUAUGUCGACAAUGAUCUUUUAUCUUCGUAACACACUGACGGUACUCUCUCCCUCGACCUUCAUCACUCUAUCUCUCUCUAAGUAUAUCUCGCUCCCUGCUAUGUGUCUCUAACUAUGAUUCUCCAUGUGGAAUCUCUUUCUCUCACACAAACACAAAACUUUGUCUCCUGGGGUCUCAUUUCUCUCUACUAUUCCCAUGUGUGCCACUCGCACACCCCUCAUACAGAGAUGUCUUUCGCUCCUUAGAUAUGAGAACCUACGACUCUUCCUCUUCAAUAUCUCUUUCUCACACACAAACACAAACUCUGUCUCCCAGGGUCUCAUAUUUCUCCAUUGUUCUCUUGUAUGUCGCUCACACACACCCUCUCUCCCUAGAGAUAUCUUGCGUCCCCUCGUAUGUCUCUCUAGCUAUCACUCUCGUUGUGAAAUAUCUUUCUCUCUCGCAGACACAAAACUCCUUCUCUCUGGAUCUCAUUUCUCUCUGAUAUCUAUUUGUAUGUGACUCACACGCACCCUCUCUCUAUAUCUCUCACACCCACACACAUAACCCAGCCUUCUGAUCCACUCGACUCCUAUCUCUAACGCACACUAGCUAGCAUCUUUAUCUUUCUAUUUAUCUGUUUCUCCAUCAACCUUCUUUCUCGCCCUCACUCUUGAUUCCUAUCACGCACACUACAUAUGUUUCUCUCUACAUGCAGUCAAGUGCCCUCUCACACACAUAUAUAACUUCACCCUUUGAACCACCCGACGGUCAUCUCCAACACCCAAACUAGCAGAUGUCCCUCUAGCUAGCAUCUCCAUCUCUGUAUCUAUCUGUAGUUUCUCCGUCAACAUUUCUUUCUCGCACGGAGUCUUGCUUCCUAUCACCCACACUAUAUAUGUCUCUCCAUACAUAUGCAUUUAUAGGUUGGUCUCUUUUGCACAAUCGUUGCGCCUCACUCCCUCUGCUCGCCAUAGAUGCAUGCUCCAGCCCACGCCACUAUCUCUUAAAGACAAAAACACAUGCUCAAUUGUCGGGACUUCUUCCAUGCUUUCUCACAUGCAUGCAUAUUGUCAUACUGAUCCGUCUCUCCCAUGUCAUUGAUCUUAUGACUUAUGUCUUCUUUCUUUUAUCUCGAUCAUGCGCGCGCGCACACACACACAUCCCACGUAUACAUGUAUACCUCUCACACAUGCACGUUCAAGGUCUCUAUGUCUCCAUACGUAGUUAAUUACCCUCAAUCCUAACGCCACAUCGAAUCAUUCUCCUCUUUUGUGCACAUAACUUCCGCCUGGAUGGGUAAGACACACACUCACACUUAACAAUCUNNNNNNNNNNNNNNNNNNNNNNNNNNNNNNNNNNNNNNNNNNNNNNNNNNNNNNNNNNNNNNNNNNNNNNNNNNNNNNNNNNNNNNNNNNNNNNNNNNNNNNNNNNNNNNNNNNNNNNNNNNNNNNNNNNNNNNNNNNNNNNNNNNNNNNNNNNNNNNNNNNNNNNNNNNNNNNNNNNNNNNNNNNNNNNNNNNNNNNNNNNNNNNNNNNNNNNNNNNNNNNNNNNNNNNNNNNNNNNNNNNNNNNNNNNNNNNNNNNNNNNNNNNNNNNNNNNNNNNNNNNNNNNNNNNNNNNNNNNNNNNNNNNNNNNNNNNNNNNNNNNNNNNNNNNNNNNNNNNNNNNNNNNNNNNNNNNNNNNNNNNNNNNNNNNNNNNNNNNNNNNNNNNNNNNNNNNNNNNNNNNNNNNNNNNNNNNNUCUCUCACACACACACACAAACUAAGACUCCAUCUCUCUCUCCUCUCUCUCUCACUCACACACACACCCCACACACACACACACUAAGACUCCAUCUCACACACACAUGCUCUAGGCGGAGCAUUUGUUCCUACCACCCUUCAUCCAACCUUACCCGUAUGAUAAACAAUCACCUUUAUUUACUUGCAUAACAUGGACAAAUUCCACUUUACUUUAGUAGUCAGCAAACUUAUCAUCUGUACCCUUAUAAAAAACGAGUUGGUGGUGAUGGUGUGCCUGCCAUCUUGUAAUACAGACCAUAUGAUCUAUAUCUGAGGGUAGAAAGCAAACUAUGAUAAUUUUACAAAAGAUACCGGCACCUCUCUCCACAUCAUUAUCUCUCGCAACCUCAUUGCUCAGCAAUUAAAAAAGGAAUAAGUCUCUGGAACAAUCUAGCAUGCAUGGUAUCCACUGCCGCCUGCCGGCGCCGUCCAUCCCCAUGCCUCCGUUCCGACCACCAGUCACCACCAUGCUCCACUCCUCCUCGCCUUAUCUCUCAUCUUUCAUUUUUUUGAUGACAUUCUCGAGAUACCAGUUUUUCGAUAAAAUUCUUGAGAUAUCAUUAGUUUUUACACAUGGGAUUACUCCUGCAUGGGUCAAUCACAACAUGUGUUCUAUAAAAAAAUGCAUAUUGAUGUUUCGUGCAAUGCACGAGAAUCUUGCUUGUUAUUAUAUAAUGCAAAUCACGAGCAGGAAGUGACAUUUUUUUUGACACAACCACGUUAACAUGGCCACAUAAAUCACUAGCUAAAGUAAAUACCAUUAUACUUAUAUCCCGAUGCAAAAGGUUGAGUACAUGUCCGAAGAGUCGAGUCACACACAUGCACUCUGUCUCUCAGAAUCUCUCUCUCUCACACACCAGUUACGUGACGCCCAAUUAAGCAGACACGUAUGUUACAAUUUGUGCACCCACGGGUACACGUGAUGUUGCGCAUUUAUUUAAGCCGGAAGGUGAACCCAAAUAGUAGCUGCAUUCAUUCCCCUCCCGCCGCCUCUUCUCUGGUCGCCGUUGCCUGGUAGCCAUGGGCCGGCCGAAGGUAACAACAUAUGCCAUACUCCCGCCGGAGCGGCGCUUUAAUAUGGAAAUUUUAGUGGUCAUGCAUGCAUCUUUUUGUGCUAGCACUCCUAUAUAAGGGUUGACCAGUCGCUUCCUGCGGACGUGCGCGGGCGGUGGAAGAGGAAGGAGAAGGGAAGCGGGCUGUGGAAUAACGUUUUUUACCACAAUUUCUUAGGAAACCGAGUGCAAUAAUUGAGUAGUUUUGCAAACUACCAGUACUACACCUGAAACGGUUCAAAACCUAUACUCCCUUGCCAGCGCGCGCUUCCCGCGUGAAACGGUCAGCGUCGCCCUGGAGCGUCAGUGCCGCAUUAAUGCCCGGCCAGAGCGGAGGCGACCUCUCACUAGCGGCGGCUUUGAAGUGGCGCUACGGCCGAGAGAGCGCUGCUUUCCGGUGCAUGCGACUGCUCCGCGUCGAGACUGGCCAUAGGCCCUGUUUGGAUCCAUGGGUUAGAGUUAGUUUGAGCUAGUUGGGGCUCAAAUAGCCCUAAACUAUCCAAGCAUCAGGGUUUAAAUUGGAGCAAGUUGCACCGAACCCACCAAAAAAACUAUCCCACCCAAGAGGUGCUAACUGGAGAUAGUUCUCAUUGGGACCACUGAAAAAUCACUUUUCUCUCUCCAUGAAGUGCGUUUAUUGUCAAUCUAACCCUGUCACCCAAACAGCUCUUUGGCUACAGUUAGUUCAGGGUUAGUCAUGAGUUAGUCUAACCUCUAGCUAAGUUAGAGUAUCAAACAUGAGCAGUAUAGGACAUGCAAGUUGCUCAAAGCAUACAAGCAAAUUCGUACGUGAAAGGAUUUUUUCUUUUUGAAAACGAAACGUGAAAGGAUUUUUUUUAGAAUGCUCUUGGCAUGUCUCUAACAUGUGAUAGUUAACCGACCUCAAUAGACGGCAAAAACGCCAGCCCGCCGCACUUUGAUAGAGACGAGGAGGGAGAAGCGAUACAGGCUGCUGGAUUACUAGAGAUAGGUGUCACACGGAAGCCAAGAAGUAUGGUGAUAGCGUGGGUUAGCCAUGUACUAGUAUGAUACUACACUGGGCUGCCGUGUUUCGUACUCUUCCAGUCCACUGUGGAGAUGAUCGGUUAAUUUUAUAUCGUUGAAUAAUAUUAAAUAUUAUGAGUGCAGACGCUCCAUCACGAGGUUCCUUGCUCCUUCUCGGUCAUCCGAAAUCUAUGUUAUUCCACUCUAUUUUUUACGUGAGCUUUGUUCAUCCUUUUGCCAACACGCGAGACAUCUAGCAUCAAGGUGCACGUGUUAUGCAAGGAUCGUUCCAUCUAUAUGAAGAACACGUGGGACUGGAACUACGAGACGAACAUGUACCUAGGAGUGGAUGUACGAACCUGAGUAAUGUAGCACAGUAAGUGAAGUAGAAAGGCACAAAUGGUAUGAACAUGCGUGGCAUAUAGGGUGUGUUUGGUUGCAUUCUUGUCUCAGCAUAGUUGUUCCCUCUUCAUGCAUGCUCAACUCAACACCCCUCUUCAUGCAUGCUCUCUUCAUGCAUGCUUCUAGUCUAUUUGUGCUAAACUAGUGUGGGCUCAUGCACCCUCCAUACACUCUACCAAACACCCAAAAGUAGGUCGAGAAGGGAACUCUUGGGCGGCAUUUGUCUCUUACUACGUACUACCACUAAAUGUUGUACGUGCAAUGCACGGUGAUGUUAUGGAGUAUGUGCCUAAGUACUCUACUACUACUAUAUUAGUUGGAGGCACAUAUUAACUUUUAUAUUUGUUUACGUGUAUGUGCCUCGAGACCUUCCAACUAGACGUGUCUUUGUCUCCAGGUCGCACUUUGUAUCGUUCAUACUACUAAGUACUACUACGUGUGGUCUCCGACCCAGAAGUGGAAGAAGUGGAGAUCCUCUACCAUGCUAUUUUUUACGCUGGGCUCUACCACGCUGUUCAUGUCCCACUCCUUUCACUGACAUGUGGGACAUCCAGCACGUGCCGUGUUUGGCACCCUUCAUCGUAAGAGUUGAAACACUAGCAUUCAUCAGAAAUAAAAAAUAAUUAUAAAUCGGCAGUGAUACUAUUUUUUUGCGAACCAAUCAGCAGUGAUACUAUACCACGCGGUUUCCUUCCUCCUCAAUAUCGGAAAGAAUACUUCCGUUCGCCAACAUGUGGGACGUCGACCAUCCUGGUCCACUUGCCAUGCACGCAGAACUCCAACGGAGUCACCCAGGUCGCCGCGCCGCAGUAACAAUGACUAAUGAGCCGUCAAAUCACAGGCCCACUUCCCACUUUGAAGUUGCUUGGACGAAGGAACCAUCAUGACUUCGUUGAAUUCCGCUUCUUGAAGAAAACUACUGUACCAGCAGUACUGCUAGCUAUAGUAGUUACUCCAACAAAGGCCUCCUUUCGUUCAUAGGAUAGGAAUAUGAAAAUCAUAGGAAGUGAGAUGACAUGCAUCUCAAUUCCUAUAGAGAAAGAGAUGCCAUUUGAUGCUUAGGAUAGGAUUUUUUUCCAUUUAGUCUAGGCUAAUGUACUGGUAAUUUGCUCUAAAAACUAUAGUAGUAACUAGUAGUACUGGUACAUGCUCAUACUCACACACACACACACACUAACUACUAGUACUACUACUUCUCACAUGCUGGCCAGACGCCGUCGUUCUCCUUCCCGGCUUUGUCGGCGACACCCCACCGUGCUUGGAUCUUCGCCGACCUCUCCGCAGCAGCGCGUGCGUCCUUUUCUUUCUUGCGGCGACAUGCCUCUUAUUUCUUGAGUGCUUUCUGACUUUUCCACUCCCUCUGUGCGGCUUUGGUCGCCUCUUGCUCUACCGCCCAUUCGGCCUUGGCAUCUUCAAAUUCCUCCCACAUAGUUGUGAGGUCGCGAGCGGUGAUGAACUCGGCACGGCGGGAUGCCAUCGCUUCCCUACCAUUUUGUGUGCGGUCGUGGGCGGUGAGGAACUCGGCGCAGCGGGAUGCCAUCGCUGUCUUACCGGUUAGUGUGCGGCGCGGUGGCAUGAACGACGCUUGGUGAGAGCUCUGGGGUGGAGUGGCCGGACAACCGUAUAGUGCAUUGGUUUGUCAAGAGCUCAAGGACAGAAGACGAAGAAAAUUUGGAUUCCCCUUCAAUCCUGGUCAUUUAUUACCGAGUAAAAUGCAUUGGCGGUCAUCGAACUUGUCUUGAUAGCUCACUUUGGUCAUUGUAUACGAGAUAUGGUGAUUAUACGGUCACUGGCUCAGCAUAUAGCUCCGUAUUUGUCUGGUUGACCAGUCAAACAGUCCGCAUGCGCCUCAUCAGCUCGUGUUCUUUAUCUAUCUACGCAGGCCUACCUGUCAAUGGAGAAAGAAAUACUGUAAAAAUCAAAAUUAUGCUAGAGUCCGGACCGCUUUCGGAGCCCGCUCUCACCGCCCUGGCCCCUCAAGACGCCACCUGCCCGCCGCAUGCAUGCAUAGCAAGUAGUACUCCUUUUGUGGAGGAGAGAGAGGCAUUGACAAAGUCAAGGAGUGGGCUCUGCAAGAGCCCGUCUCUACACAUGCUCCUAGGUAUAGAAAAAAUAAUUCUAAAAAAGGCAUAAAAACAAUUGUGUGUUAAAAAAAGAAAGGUAAAAAACAUUUGAGAGGAAAUAGAUAAAGGAAAGUGAGAAAAAGUUGUAACCUGGGCAUUACAUGAGGAAGGAGGGAGUGGUGCACAUGCCAAGUUCACUGGGCUGCCGUGUUUCACACUCCUCCGUCGUAACAGUGGAGACAAUAGCUUUCAUCAAAAAUAAACAAUGAAUACUCGUUGCUCGUCCUCUAUAUCAGAAAGAAUACUUUCAUUCGCUGACAUGUGGGACGUCGACCAUCCUAGUCCACCUGCCAUGCACAAAAUUAUCCUGGUCUACCCCGGUCGUAUCGCAGUCCCAACCUUUCCCACUGUAAGUUGUUCGGACGAAGGAACCAUCAUGACUUCGUUGAAUUCCGCUUCUUCAAGAAAACUUACUAUACCCGCAAUACUGCUACCACACGCGAAGACUGGACGGCACUAUACCACGUCAUAUCACUGAAACCCACUAGGGCAAACUAGCCCGCCUAGGUCAUCUAUUUUGGAAUGGAGGGAGUACGUCUAUGCACUGCUAUGAUUUUGUGUUGCACGUCAUAUCACUGAAACCCACUAGGCCAAACUAGCCCGCCUAGGUCAUCGAUCACUAAACCUACAAUUUUAGGAGCUAGGGCUAUUGGUCGAUCGACGAGGGAUUAGUAUAAGCAUACCACGAGCUCAUCAGCCCCAAGGUUUCUCUUCGGUGAGUGUUUUGCAAGUAUUAUAGCUUGCACAGUAGCUAGCCUACUAACACCAAGAAUCAUCAAACAAGCCCCGUUGAUAUGAUAAACAGUUCAAACUUACAUCUAAUAAUGCCAUAUAUUACAUAAAAAGCUAGUGAGGAUACAUCUGUUUCCAUAACUCAGAGAGGGUUCGCAUGAUUCACUAUCAAACAAAAGUAGCAAGAUCCACCCACACAAGACAGUGCACUAGCCCUAAGAUGUUUUGAUAACACGCAUCGUUCUGGUAAUUAAACACAGGGCAAUGCAAACUACCCUGAAGGAUUAGCGCGACCAACUAUUUCUUAUCAUCGAUCUCUUGGGCAAUGACCACAGCACGGACAGCGGCAUGGGAAUCGAUUUCUGGGGCAAUGUCCGAAGGACUGACCGCGACAUUGGAAUUGAUCUCUAGGGCGAUGUCCAUAGGAUGGACAGCGGCAUCGGAAUUGAUCUCCGGGGCGAUGCCAACAGGACGGGCCACGACAUCGGAAUCAUCAAGGACGUCCACCGGCACCUACACAACCCUAACAUAUUAGCAAGCACAUUGAAAAUAAUCAAAAACCACAACUAUGGUAAUAAGCCAUUAUUUUUUACCUUGUGUAGCUCACCGGGGGAUCUCACCCUCCAGGGGCCAUCUCCUCGUCCUCGAUGGGGGCCAUCACCUUGCCAGGGGAAUACUGCUUCUCAACGGUGACUAUCUCCUCAAACUUGGUCUUGAGCCUCACAUAGGUGGCAAUCAGAGUUCCUGGGGUAGGCACAAUGGGACCCUUGCUGUUCUUCCAACUUCCUUUGAGGAGUUCGUCCGCCAACAUCCUCAACUCUUUGGCCAAUGCUUGUUUCUUGGAGUUCUUCGUCUCCAUGGGUUGGCCCGCCAACAUGGUCAACUCGUUGGUCAGUGCUCGCUUCCUGGAGAUCGCUGUCUUCAGUGGGUUGUCCGCCGGCAACUCUUUGCCUAGUGCUCCAGGAUCCAUCAAUGAACUGACAAACAAAAAGCAAUCGAAAGGAAACCACAAUCGCAAUGAAAACAGGAAAAGAAUAGGAUGUGAGAAUCGGUCGGUGCUUCACAAAAAGAAGAUUCUUGGAAUGAAAAUAUAGCAGCAUAACUAAUUCGCCCACCUUUCCUUCGUCGAUACAGAAGAAAAAUGGCAGAAGUGAGUUGCCUGGAGUGAGGUUUUCUUCAAGAAAGGGAAGAAAGGGCUUGAACGAGCGUUCCAGUGAAAUGAUGGUUGCUUCGUCCGGUCCAACUUGGAGGCCACCUUACCACUGCUGGUAAAGGUGUGGGUUUUGUGAUAUGACAUGUCAUGACGGCCACACCGAGGUUACAGGUGAGUCUCGACUAUAGCACCUCACUAUGAUUUGGUGGAUGGCACGCGGGCCCGGAUGCUUUGAAAUGUCCCGCAUGUAGAUAGAGCGGCUAGUCAUAUAGGAGUGCUCAAUAUUGUGCACCGCGACCAAGGUGGAGAGGAAAACGAGAGAACUACGUAAUUAAUGCAUGAGUUUAAUUAGGGUAGUUUUGUAAAGUACGAGAUACAUUCCUCCAAUCGCAAAAUGCCUUGGUUCAUGAGAUUUGAGAUUUGAGCCCUAUAAACCGGAAGGGAGGGAGUACUACACACGGUGUAGUCUAGUCACUUGUUGAAAUCUCUAGAAAGGCAAAUACUCCUUUCCGGUUUACAGGGCUAUACUACUCCCUCCGUCUAGGUGUGUAAGUCAUCUUACGAAAACCAAAUAGUCCCAAAACACUUAGGCGCGGUGCAUUAACUUCUACCUUGUUUCUUGUUUCUUGACAUAUCAACCAAUAAGAGAUGAGAGGUGUGCAUGCUUUUAAUGACUUGCAAUGGCUAGUUUAUUGCAUGCAAUGCUAUUAAUUAGCAAAUAAACAUUGGUGACCCCAGGAGGAAACGGUGCUAAGCGCGUGGACCUAUGCAGAAUGAGUAUCAACCAAUGGAUAAUGGAGUUUAAUUGUUAAACAAUAGCAAUUUUGUCUGAUGCAAGAGUCUGGCUAGUACUCCAAGGAACUGCACCGCGCGAGCGUUCGCAACUACCACGUUCGAGUUGCGCUUGGCUCUUCGCCUCUUCAAGAAGACGAACAAUAAUGAUGUUACUCCUACUUCUACAGUAUCGAAUUCACUGCUGCAUGUCCGUCCACCUCGUGCGGGAGGGAUAGCGAAAGCUUCAACUUACUGCUCCUGCCUUUGCGUCCAUGACAGGUGGGCCCAACAGGUGGUUGGCCCUCCUGUCAUGCAACCAAAGGCAAGUGCAGUUAAGGCAUCGGUGCUUAGUCCGCGAGGGAGAGGGUGUUGUAGUAAUCAAAUUUCUUGGUCUUAUACGAGUUGACGAAGAUAGGGGUUGCUUGCUUGCUAGGGUUGCUCACUACGUAUAUAUAGGCCGGAGCCUCCGCGCUUGCUUGUUAGGGUUGCUCUAUUCACACACUCUCAUCCUCUCCAGAUUUAAACAAGAUAUGGGUAGUAACACUAUCUUUCUCCCUUCAAAAAACACUGGCUUUCUAUCCUCACCGCUGGUUACAGAUCCGGACGUAUCCCCCUCCGCCGGUGAAGGGGAGGAGGGGCAGCGUUUAGGCCGUCGUCGACUAUGAGGGAGGAGACCCACUGCCGGCCGCACCGUUAUCUCUGGCCGAGCGCCGGCGCGGGAGGUCCUCCGAUCCCUUCGUCGUUGCCUGUGGGCAGAUGCGGCCUCCCGCCGCCCACCUAUCCACAUCCUGACGACCUUCAGGUAUAUCUUCAUUCAAAACCGCCUUAGCUCUACUUACCUAGCUCGCAACGUCGCGUCAUGUGCAUCAUUUUCUACCUCUCAGCCCCUCUCGAUCGGAUGGUCCAACGUCACAUAUUUUUUUCUUCUAUUGUUAGAGGUAAAGCUACUGCAUGGAGUCUAAUCUUGUACUCCCUCCGUCCGAAAUUACUUGUCAAUGAAAUGGAUGUAUCUAGAUGUAUUUUAGUUCUAGACACAUCCAUUUUGAUGACAAGUAAUUCCGGACAGAGGGAGUACUUGGUUCAAACAAGAAAUAAAGUGGGGGUGGGGGAAUUUAGUAUGUACAUCGGACUUGGUACAAACAGGAAGGAAAGGGGGUGAAAGUAGUACAGACUGGUCAUCCAACCGGUCUCUUGGUCGAAAAGGGAAAUAUAGGGGUAACGCUGUACACAGUGAUAUGACGAGGACUAGAUUUGCUAUCCACACAUAGGAGUAGGUGGCUAGAGUGAACCAAAAUGGGACCAACCCAGAUAUGUUUCUUGGAUGUUUGUUUCUCGGGGCAACAAACUAUGAAUCACCACUUUAUGCCCCUGUUUACGUACAUGCUGCUGGACUGCUGGUGCACCCACUGUUAUAAGCCAUGACAAGUUUAGCCAAAUGUUUUUGCCUGUAAUUGUUUCAGACUCUGACUGUUUCCUCUGUGCCUUUUUUGUGCAAACAUGGAUAUCCAAUUCACCUGGUUGCUGUUGUGACCUUUUGGUGCACUGCACAAAACUCUUCUUAAAAGAAGUGACUUUUGUGCUGUUUAACUGGAAUGUCAGAAUGGAACAGUUGGUUCAUUUUGGUGGAACUGCACAAGGAGAUAUGUGUUCCAAUCCUCAUCAUCCAUAUUGGCGCCAUAAACUUCCUUUAGGUAAGAAUGAUAUUUAAUGCAUGUGUUCAUCUCUAUUUUCUGACUGCCAUGAGAAAAUAAUGCUGUUUUUUACUAGUACACUUGUACUCCCUCACUGACAAAACCAAUUCUGAAUUAGAAGGCCAAUCAUGUACUUGGUUUCACCAACUGGUGAGGAGAAAGAGAAACAGAGCAUGAAGAGGAAGAAGAAGAAUAAACAGUGCCAAGGCGAUCUUGCUGAAGCCAGAGGCCUCAGUCGAGGCCAUUCAAGGGCUCCGGCAACGACUACCUUACAUGUGAGAUGAUCCUCUAGGGAGCCCUUCCACUUCUGCUGUCUCACUUAAUUAAUUAGGAGUACUUAAGUACCACUAAUUUAUUACUGCCUAAUUUUUCCUAUUGGAGUUAAACAAAUCUUUAGUAAGACCCUAUGCUGAAUCAUGUACGUGUGUAUGUUUGUCUAUGGAGGUGAAUCAUGUGGUGGAGCAGGGAGGGAAUAUUAUUAGUGUCAUGACAUAAUAGUGCUAUUGUUUUGCAUGUCAAUUUAUUGCCAUUGGUUCAAUGAGGCAAUGUUUUGCGUAUUGUCCAUCAUGAAUUUGAUGCUACUGGUUGAGUAAUAUGCUAAUGUCUUCCUAUCCUUUCUCACUAAGCUAAUGAAGGUUUCACCUUGUUCCUACUUGUGCAAAUAGGGAUCAUGUUGUGCCAAUCAUACAUUAAAUGGAACUACACAAGACAAUACAAUGAAUUGUAUCCUAGCGAGUGCUUUAACUCUGCUGGAAGUUCUUGAUAAUCUUUCGAUAUAAUCUCAGCACUGGUAAACAAGAGUGAUUUCAACCAUACAUUUGAAGUGCACAAAAAUAUAUACUAUUGUGUGAUUCCAGUGAGUGCCUUAUCAUCUCUUAUGGGACUACAUGAAUAAGCUUUUUUUCUCAGGUUGGUACGGGCCUAAGGCCUUCAUCCAUAUUACUUUGUUGUCAUCUCUAUUUGUAUCGUGCUACUGUCAUGAGAAACUCCUUUAUCUUUGCACGUUAAAGUUUUGCAACCUAUGAUAAAUGGCAAUGCUUUGAGUGUUGAGUUGAGCUAAUUGGCACUGAUUAAAUAAACUAAUACCUCUCUUUAAGCAAGACUACUAUGUUGCCAACUUUACCCAUUAAGAUAAUGAGGGUGCUUCUAUUUGUUAGUGUAUGUUUCAUAAACUAGUCACUAUCACAGUAAUCUCACUCUCUCAAUAUAUGUGCCAACAGGGAUGCUCGAUUUUGGUGGAACUGCACAAAAACUUUGGGUGCUUCAUUGCCUCGACAGCUUUCGUCCUUUCCUGUCAGUUGCUAAACUCCGCAUGCUUUCUUCCUUUGCUGUCAGUCGCUUGGCUUAUCUCGGCUUCCAGUCAAAGGAAAUAGUAAUUGAUAUGCUACCUCACACAGGUUGGUACUGGUCUUUAUCCUGAUUAUUGUGCCUUUCAUAUGUAUUGGUAAUUUGGUAUUGUGCUACUAUUUGCCGAUUUCAUAAAGGAGUAAUUUGGAGCCUGAACUCGUAGGCAGAUCAUUACAUCGGGUGAUUUCAGUAGAACUGCACAAAAUGAUCAGAUGGAUAGGUACUUAUGUUGCUGCUAUGUACUCCAAAGUUCACUCAAACAAGCAUCAAUGUUGACAAGAAGUGCCUAUAUUCAUUCGAGUAUCAACCGGCAUCAACCAAUUGUCAAACUCCAAGUGUUAGGAGAGUGAACACCAAAGAUAUUGCUUGGUGCAUAGCCCAGAAAAACGCAGUCCAGUCUUUGGUCCCAACUUGUGCCUUUUGGUUAUCGGCACAUAUGGUAGCGAACUAUAUGGCAUGGAGUCUAAAGACAAGUUGGUUGACGCGUAUAUUCAUUUGGCACUUAAUCAGUUUGCACGCCAAGGAUGCUCCAUUUCAGUUGAACUGCACAAAAAAUUUGGGUGGUUCAUUUUCUCAACCGCCUCCUUUCUCGUCUUCAAUGUAGAGUUUUGGCGAGAUACAGGACCAAGAUGACCCAGUAAACUGGUUGGAUGAAAGUAGUGGCCAAGUUGCUCAAACCUCCCUCCGCACGAGGCCACUAUUUGAGGAUAAACCUACAAGCAAAGUUCAGAUUGUCUAUGCCGCCUCUUAUGUACUCGAAAGUUUACUCGUACAAGAACUAAUUUUAGCAAGAAGUACCUCUGAUUGAACACCAUUUACCAGUCUGUACCCUAGGUAAUUAAAGUUCGUCCAUGGAUCAUAUUGGCUGUGAUCUCAAUCAUUUGGAUGCAUAAACAUACUGAACAUGUGUAUAUCUGAAUCUUUUUGUAAAUUAUGUAUGAAUAUUGUCGUGUGAUCUAUCAAUCAUUUGGAUGCAUAGAUAUGCUGAGCUUGUGUAUAUAUGAAUCUUUUGAGUUGUUGAUGUGAAUGCUGGCUAUGGAUAUGAACGUGUCCUGUGAACCUGAUUUUGAUAUGAAUGUUUACCUUUUCUGUUGUAUUUGUGUGUGAACUUGUUAGUAUGCCUACUAUGGGGUAUAAAAUGCAGGUCUCUUAUAAAAGUAAUGCUGUGUCCAAUUUAUGUUUUCCCUUCUAACCACAUUAUAUAUAUUUAUAUUAUUACUAUUAUCGUAUAUUUUAUAGAGACUUAUAUAUACAUUAUAAAAACAUCCCAACUUAUAAAAGUAAAUGUUUAACGGAAGUUGGCAAGGAAAAUCGUGGUUGUUUUUGACUCACAGGCAAGGAAAAUCCUGGUGAUUGCGUACAAAAGCUCGCGAAGAUUUGAAGGACCAAUUUAAUAAUAAUGCGCUCAUUUUUAUUUUGAGCAAUAACUCGCUAAUUUCUUAAUUAUAUAUAUAAUGUGCAUCUCCGGUUUAUUUUUUGAUAUUAAUUGCUCCUUCUAACAUAACAUUAUACUCCCUCCAUCCGAAAAUACUUGUCAUCAAAAUGGACAAAAAGGGAUGUAUCUAAAACUAAAAUACAUCUAGAUACAUCCCUUUUAUCCAUUUUGAUGACAAGUAUUUCCGGACGGAGGGAGUAUAUAUAACGAUCCCACCUAAUACGUGUAUUUCAAGGAAGUGCAAAUGUGCUGGGAUUUCUUAGAAAAUAUAAAUGGGCCUAAUUGACGCGAAAUUAUUUGUUCACCCAGCCCAGCAAAUGGAUUGUACAUUCUAGAAAACAUGGGUUAAAUAUAUGCCGCAUUUUUGCAGGCUGACAUGUGGGCCAAUAGGUCGAAGCCUACGCAGGGCGUUGUCAACUUGGUCAACAAAUGAUUGUGUCAUCCACAGCCAUUGGAUUUAUAUCCAACGGCCGUCAUGCACCUUCAAUCUCUCGUCUUCUUCCUCCAGCAUCGCCGGGACCGCCUGGUCCGGCCUCCGGCGGCUAGCGGCUCUGCUUAGCACGCAUCGCUGCGGAGCGCUACCCCACCACCGGCCAGGCUAUCCCUCCACCCCUCGACACCUCCUGUUAUUCUCCACAGACUACAGACCCACGCUGCAACAGAACCAGUUAUAACCCUUCUCCUCCUCUCAAUCUGUGACUCCACUGCCGCGUUUUCCCAUCUUCGAGUCGUUCCCGUCCGGGGCCUCGCCGUCGUCCACCGCCUCGCUGCGUUCGGUGCGGCGUGGUCAACAAACGAGAGUCAUCGGAAGAGGACUUUACGUGGAGAGCCUGACGGCUGGGACCCACGAGGUCCAUGGUCCAUGGUCGCACCGCGGCUGUGCUGCUGCGCACCCGAACCAGUGAAGUUUCCCACUCCUCUCCAUCUGCGACUCCACUGCAGCUUAAUAAAUAGUAACGUCUUCAGUUUUAGCCCGGUUUUCCGUAUAUUAACCAGGCAAUUCUCUUCUUCUUAAUUAAUCGACGAGGCAAUUCUUUUGCCUCCGUUUCGAAAAAAAUAAAUAGUAACGUCUAACUGAGCCAGUUAGUUAGAUGCGUACACUUGGUGUAGUAGGAUCUUUAUUUAGUUUGAUGCAUACACUUGUUCUUUUUUGGUAGCCCUUUUGUAAUGAUGGCUGAUGUUUGGUCUGGAAGAGAGAGCUGUGUCUUCACUCUUCUGGCCUGUUUACUGCUUCUGUUGCACCCCCAGCCCUGGUUGCUGCUGCUGCUGUUUUCAAUGUACAAUCAGUAGUGUAUUUUGUUUGUUGGUUGAAUAAAUGUGUUGUUAGAACGACAAACACAAUGUUUUGGAAGUCGUUGCACGGUUCGAUCCUUUAGUGCCCCGUACCGUACGUAGUGCAUACUAUUUAUCGUACGGAACACAUUUUUUUAAAACUCGGAACACAUUUUCCACUUGUUGAUAACAUGCAGCCCACUGAUGAAGGCCCAAUAGAGAAGCCCAUAAUUAACUGGAAGGGAGGCUCUCACAUGAAUCCGGCCCAGGUACAUGCUCAUGGUCCCCUAAACAUAAAUAAGUAAAUAAAUAAAGCUAAAUGCUCAUGCACCAGUUCUUUGGGAAAAUAGGUAGCCCAGUAUUUCUUUUUGAAGAAUACCCAAGCUAGGCCUAUUUGUUUUCUCCGAAUUACUGGGCUGCAAAUCUUUCAAGACGAGGAGGGAUGCAUUCCGGCCUGGCUUAAGAGUAUGGUCAAUGUCUGUUAAAAGUAAUAUCAAAAGGGGUUGAAAAUUCCAAAAAAAUUAUAGCAAAUGGGAUAUAAGUUUCUUUUUUUGUUUUUGUUCUUCACUGAUAUCUUAUACGUAUUUCAUUAGAUUUAACAUGACAUAGUACUAAUUUAUUUUUAAAUUUGUUUUAGUAUGGCUAUUAAUUUUUGGAUUAAGAAUAUUUAGUCCCCCAGCAAAAAUUUGCGAAUUUUCAAAAUUUCCCACAUAUUUAGUUAAUUUUUUGACCCUGGUACUGACCAGAAAAUGGCCAGCAAUUCUAAAAAUGGAAAACGGGCUGCAAUAAAUUUCAUAUGAAUUAGAAAAUGAGUAAAAAUUAUAAAAAUAAUAGCAAAUGGGCAGUACACGCCACAUAUUUCGAGGUUGACUUGUUUACGCAAGGCUUUGUCAGUGAACACAUGAUUCUAGCAGCAGUUAGUGUUGGAUGUCCAUCCAAUGGCCGACGUGCUUCUUCAAUCUCUGAUCUUCCUGCUCCAGCCGCCUAAACUAGCACCGGCGGGACUGCCUGCUCCCUCCUCUUGUGGCCCGCUGUGAUGCCACACAGGCUUCCCCUGCCCACCCUACUCCCUCCGCUGGCCUGGCCGCACGCAAUCAACUUCGUCCUUAUUACGCAAAAAAAUGAUUCCUCCCACUGACAUCUGGGGCGCACCGGUUGGGAGGCUGACCUGUGGGCCUACUAAGUUGACGCGUACGCAUGGCUUGUCAACUUAGUCAACAAACGAUUCUAGCAGUAGUAACCGUUGGAUUUGAAUCAAACGGUCCUGCUGCUUCCUCAAUCGCUGCUCUUCUUGUACCAGCCGCCCAAACCAGCGCCGGGGAGACCGCCUGCACCUGCCUCCAGUGGCCGGCUGUGCUGUCAAUGAGGCCUCAUCGCCCCAUACUACUCCCACCGCUAGCCAGGCCCUGCGGCGACGGCAGCCUCACACCGCAGCCGAACCAGUGAACCCUCAUACUCCUCUCCGCGUGGGCAUCCACUGCCGCGUCUUCCCCGGCUCCGCGUCGUCCCCUUCCUAGGCCUCGCCGUCGUCCAUCGCCUUGGUGCUCUCGGCGCAGCGUGGUCGACGUGGUCAAUGACAUUCCAUCGGAAGAGUACUGUACAUGGAGAGGCUGACAGCUGGGUCCAUGGCCACAACCCAGAUUUUUUGUGAUUUGCCAAGUAAGUCGCUUUGUCAUGCCUGUUGGGCUGCAAAUCUUUCAAGACGAGGAGAGCUUUCAUUCGGCUGGCCGAGAAAAUGGCCCAUCAGUAAUGAGAAAUGGAUUGUACAUUUUUAAAACACAUCAAACCGGCAAUUAGUUUCAAAUAUCUUUUUUUCAUUUCGAGAUUUGAAAUUACAUUAAUUUUUAUGUGUGGAGAAUUUGUUGGAUUUUAUAUUGAUAUACAUUUAUUUUUAAAAUCAGUUUGAAUGUGAGUCGAAAUUUCGGGAUUAAAAACAGUCUGGACCGCACCGAAAUAUGCAAAAUUUCGUAUAAUUUUUUAACCAUGGCCACAAUAUGGGCUGUAAUUCUAACAAAAAGAAUAUGGGCUCCAAAAAAACCUUAAUAAUUAGCAAAUUGGCUGUAAAUUAUUAGAAAUAAUGGCAGAUGGGCUGUAUGCUGUUUUCCACAGAUUUGAGGCUUUCCUAAAAAAAGGUUGACGCACAAGCAGUGACUGUUGGAUGGCCAUCCAACGACCGUCGUGCAUCUUCAGUCUCUGCUAUUCCUGCUCCAGCCGCUCAAACAAGCGCCGGUGGGACUGCUUGCUCCCUCCUCCCCGCGGCCGGCUCUGCUGCCGUGCAGGCCUCACCGCCCCACCGUACUCCCAUCGCUGGCCUAGCCAUCCCUCUACUCACCCACACCUGCCGUUAUUCUCCGGCGACGGCAGACGAACCAGUAAACCCUUGUACAGUCGUACUCCCCUCCGCAUGGGAAACAACUGCCGAGUCUUCCCUGCCUUCGUGUCGUUCCCUUCCUAGGCUUCGCCGUCGUCCACCACCCUGGUGCUCUCGGCGCGGCCUGGUCAAAGUGGUCAACGACCGACAUGCAUCUGAAGUGGACUUUACGUGGAGAGGCCGACAGCUGGGUCCACGGCCGCACGCAAGGAAAUGCCUCCUUAUUACGUGCAAAAUAAUGAUUCCUCCACCUGACAUCAGGGACCCACCGAAAGGGCCUCCGUAUUUCGCGAAAAAACGUUACCGCCGCUAACAGCUCGGACCCACCAACUAUAUCUUCGCACGCAAGGAAGUGCCUUCUUAUUACGCACAAAAAAAUGAAUACUCCCCUGUUAGCUGGGACACAAUAUAGUGGCAGGCUGACUUGUGGGCCUACUAAGUUGACGGGGACGGAGGGCUUUGUCAACUUAGUCAAUAUGGACGAUUCUAGCUCCAGUGACCGUACGAUGUCCAUCCAACGGCCAUAGUGCUUCUUCAACCUCUGGUCUUCUUGCUCCAGCCGCCCGAACCAGCGUCGGUUGUGCCUCGUGCUCCUGCCUCCCGUGGCCGGCUGCGAUGUGGUGGAGGCCUCACCGCCCCCUACUACUCCCACCACUAGCCAGGCCAUCCCUCUACUCACCCACACCACCUGUUAUUCUGCGGUGACGGCAACCUCACACCGCAGCGAACCAGUGAACCCUCAUACUCCUCUACACGUGGGCAUCCACUGCCGCGUCUUCCCCGGCUCCGCGUUGUACCCUUCCUAGGCCUCGCCGUCGUCCACCGCCCUGGUGCGCUCGGCGCGGUGUGGUCAACGUGGUCAAGGAACGGCUUCCAUCGGACGUGGACUGUACAUGGAGAGGCUGACAGCUGGGUCCACGGCCGCAGCAAGGAAGUGCCUCCUUAUUACGUGCAAAAUAAUUAUUCCUCCACCUGACAGCGGGGACCCACCGGACGGGCCACCGUAUUUCGCCCCUCUGAUUGCUGGGACCCACCAGCUACAUCUUCGCACGCAAGGAAGUGCCUGACAGUGGGAACCCACCUGGUUGAAGCGUACGUAGCGUUGUCAUUCUGGUCGCGAACGUGUACGUACAUAUAUACUGGUGGAUGUAGAGGUGUGCACGUGUUGUAGUAGAGGCGGCCAGGGUGCAAGAAAGAAAAUACAGCCACGUAUGUGUACAUACGGGCGAGGUCUCGAACGCCUACUCGCGCAUACGUACGGCCAGGGCUCGUGUACAUGGCUGGGUCAGAACGGAGAAACAACGUCGUCGUCGUGUUCAUGGGGAGGCAACGGAAUGCGUCGUGUUCAUGGGGAGGCAACGAAAUGCGUCGUGUUCAUCGGGAGGGCUUGGACGGAACAUGCGAUGGAAACGAGGCCUGGUGUACCGCAGAACGGAGGAAAGGACCUUGUGCUCGACCGACCACGUUCGAAACGGGAUCCUGUUCAUCGGGAGGGGUCUGGCGUACCACAAAACAGAGAAAACGGACCUCCUACGGUCGAAACGGGGGUCCUGUUGAUCGGGAGGGGUGUGGCGUACUGCAAAACAGACGAAACGGACUUGUGUUGGAGCGCUACGGUCGAAACGGGGGUCCUGUUCAUCGGGAGGGGUGUGGCGUACCGCAAAACGGGACUCCACGGGAUACUAUUCAUCUCCACCGUCGACCCCCUCCAGCCUCCAUGAGCUACUGUUCAUCCACCGUCGACCUCCUCCAGCCUCCACCUGCGACUGUUCAUCCACGGGCUCCUGUUCCCCCACCGCGCGCUACUCCACCGGCUAUUGUUCAACCAACCGUCUCCACGAGCUCCUGUUCAACCACCCCUCCACGGGCUACUGUUCAUCCUGCCCUCCACCGUCUUCUGUUCAUCCUGCCCUCCACGGGGUGGUCCUGUUCAUCCUGCCCUCCACGGGGUGGUCCUGUUCAUCCAGCCCUCCACGGGGUCCUGUUCAUCCAGCCCCAACCGGCUCGAUCGAUAGGGGUCCUGUUCAUCCAGAGGCAACACCACGGGGUCCUGUUCAUCCACCCCCCGCAACGCUUACUGUUCAUCCAGAGGCAGCAUCGAUCGACUUCAGUUAGCAGCAGUAGCGAUGGAAUCGCUCGAUCGGGUUUAGUUAACAGCCAUCGAUCGAUCGCUCGGGUUCAGUAACGCGUAGCCUGCAGUGCAAUCGCUCGGGUUCAUUUAGAGCCCAACGCCUCGCUCGGGUUCAGUUAGAGCCAAUGCCUCACACACACGCGCGUACGUGUACGAGAGAAGCGUGCAUCGCUCGGCCCCCGACCUCCCACAGUAACCGGGAACUCCCCGAAAUUUUCCUCUCCCUCGCUUCUACCAUGGUUUUUUCCGUCAUGGACGGCCCAAAAAUUGUCAUGCAACUGCGUCUCCAGCCCGCCCAGGACGAAAAGCCCAUUUUCUGUCAUGAUUUUUUGUCAUAGAAGUAGGAGCCCACCACAUCUAUGAUGAUACCGGGUUUUGUCACAAUUAUUGUCAUAGAAGUGUCAUAUGUAUGACAGAAAAAAAUUUCGUUCGGCCCAAAAUGUCACGGAUGUGUCUUUUAUUGUAGUGAUAACAACUAGAACCGGAUACUUAAUGAAACACACCCUUUCAAGUGCCAGAUACAACCAGGUGAUCGCUCUCUCAUAGGGCGACGAGGAGAGGAUCGUCGAGUAGGAUUAUGCUAUGCCAUGAUACUUGGUUAACUUACCAUCUACUCUCUUCUACUGCUUCAAGAUGGAGGCUGCCAGAAGCAUAGUCCUUGAUAGGACUAGCUAUCUCCCUCUUAUUCUAGCAUUCUGCAGUUUAGUCCACAUAUACUACCCCUUUCAUUGAUACCAAUGCAUAUGUAGUGUAGCUCCUUGCUUGUGGGUACUUUGGAUGAGUACUCACGGUUGCUUUGCUUCCCUCUUUCCCCCCUUUCCAUAUCUGGUUUUUGCGACCAGAUGUUGGAGCCCAGGAGCCAGAUGCCACCAUCGAUGACAACUCCUACUACACUAGAGGUGCCUACUACUACGUGUAGGCCGCCGCCGCCGACCAGGAGCAGUUUAGGAGGAUCCCAGGCAGGAGGCUUGCGCCUCUUUCGAUCUGUAUCCCAGUUUGUGCUAGCCAUCUUAUGGCAACUUGUUUAACUUAUGUCUGUACUUUGAUAUUGUUGCUUCCACUGACUCGUCCAUGAUCGAGCUCUUGUAUUCGAGCCCUUGAGGCCCCUGGCUUGUAGUAUGAUGCAUGUAUGACUUAUUUUAUUUUUUAGAGUUGUGUUGUGAUAUCUUCCCGUGAGUCCCUAAUCUUGAUCGUACACGGUUGCGUGUAUGAUUAGUGUACGAUUGAAUUGGGGGCGUCAGAAGUUGGUAUCAGAGCCGACUACCUAUAGGAAUCCCCCUCCACACUCCUUGGCCAAAGUCGAGUCUAGUCAUUAUAAAACAUUUACUAACAUGGCUGAGUGUAUUACGGGCCCACGUCGCCAUUUGGGUGGUAUUAGGAUCUUUUAUUCGUUGUCUAUACUCUGGGACUCUGAUUUCUCUUCUUUUCGGGUUUAAAUGGAAUUACUAACUCUAACAUUAGGUUCUCAUGAUCACAUCCACCCGGAAAACCCCUUGUUACAGAUGAUUGCCUGUUGUACCGAAGAAUUCCAAAGAUACUCUCUGUUGUUCUCUCGAGACUUUGUGCCCAUUCCUUUUGCCAUUCCCUACCAUACAAAUAUCCCUAUGGAUAAAUACCUACACUUGCCAUUCUUACUUUUAUUCCAAGUUAAUCUUGUUAUUACAAGAUACCCCGAAAUUCUCUCUAUUGUUCAGAAAAUACAUUGUGCCCACUGCCCUUGUAGUUCUUUGGAACUUGAAUACCCCUACGAAUAAUUUCUAGUAGUUAUCAAAUAUCCGCUCAUCCCCAGUGGAUACAUGUAUUUCACAAAAGUCUUUGAAAUACCAUUCGAUCUUCCAAAAAUCCUGAACAGCUUAUUGCUCUUGAAAUUCUUGCUUGCUUGCAAUAUAAUUAUCCCCAUAAGCAUGGUAAUCAUAUUGACAUCCUUUGUCAUUAUCAUUUUGAGUCCGUUGAUUCGAUAUGUUUGUGAAUGGUCACAAUCAUCAGUCAAAACUAAAAUUCAUCCUCCCGGCUCAGACGUCAUUUUGAACAUGACCUGGAUCUCGACCAAUCAAAUAGGCAUCAAUUGUAUCCCUGAGCCUACUCAACAUAUCCAUCCUUAAUCAGAGCAUUUUCUCCUGAUCCCUUGAUUUGUAAAUCACAAUUCCUUUGCUUUUGAGCUUUGAAUUAGUAGUUGUUUCUAUAAUCCAAUGCCUUUGCCUUGUUUCUUCCUCUGGUUGGGUACCAAUGCUUACGUCAGAUCCCUUGAGGGCCAUCAGAUCCUUUGCUAGAUUUUAUCCGACAACGUCCUUCAUAUUCAAUCACUUUGGAAGUUCUUCCUCUGAUAUAUAAUGUCAUUGGUAACUCCUAUUCUCUGAUUGGCCAACCAUGCUCUGCUUUUGAGCUGGAGAUAUUUACUCUUGAAACUUGUGGUAUAUGUUUCUAAGAAGCUCCUAUGGGUUGAACAUAUGCCUUCUCUAAACCGUGUGAACCCGAAAGUUUUCACGAGUCAUACUCUUCUCGUGCUUCGCUAGAUAAAAUUUCAACACUACAACUUCUUUGAAGUCGAGAAGUGAAUGAAAGGUCAUGCAUUAAAGAAGUGGGAGUUGACCUUGAACUUUGUGUUCAUGCCCAUGGACCCGAUGUGGAACUUAUCAUGGAAGCCUCUUGCAAAAUAUUUAAUCAUUUGGGUAAUUGUUUCUGUGUCAUUAAAUUGGAUCCCCUACAGGCAUGGUGCCAACCAUAUUGUUCUUCUUUGAUCCCAUUUCUCGGACAAGUUGAAGUACUUGUCUUCUGCAGGUCAAUACAUCUAUCCAACCUCUAUUCUGCUCUACCUUCGAGUAUACCCUCAGGUAUCUCAAGAAUAUCACGGAACUACAUAACUUCUUAUGAGUUCUUCGUCAACUAUUAUUCUCGCCAAUUCCAAUGCCCCCGGGUUAUGGGUUAAUAGUCACUCGAGAACACUGAUAAGUGAAUCGAUUCCUCACUCCGUUUCAAUAACGCUAAGUAAUUUUCGUUGCUUAUGAGUUUAAUAAUCCUUCAAGUCAUUCCUAGCCUGAUUGGUGAUAUGUCUCCAAUGUAUCUACUUUUCGAAACAAUUUUGCCCUUGUUUUGGACUCUAACUUACAUAAUUUGAAUGGAACUAACCCGGGCUGACGCUGUUUUCAGCAGAACUACCAUGGUGUUAUUUAUGUGCAGGAUCAAACGUUCUCGGAAUGACCUGAAACUUCACGGAGACACUUUUCAGAAAAUAUGAAAAAUACCUGCCAAAGAUGAAGGCCAAGGGGCCCACCAUCUUGCCACGAGGGUGGGGGCGCGCCCCCCUAUCUCGUGGGCCCCCUGUUGCGUCUCCGACUCCAACUCCACCUCCAUAUAUUGAGUUUCGAUGAGAGAAAAAUCAAGGAGAAGAAAUCAUCACAUUUUACGAUACGGAGCCGUUGCCAAGCCCUAAAACCUCUCGGGAGGGCUGAUCUGGAGUCCAUUCGAGGCUCCGGAGAGGGGAAUCCGUCGCCAUCGUCAUCAUCAACCAUCCUCCAUCACAAAUUUCAUGAUGCUCACCGCCAUGCGUGAGUAAUUCCAUCGUAGGCUUGCUGGACGGUGAUGGGUUGGAUGGGAUCUAUCAUGUAAUCGAGUUAGUUUUGUUAGGGUUUGAUCCCUAGUAUCCACUAUGUUCUGAGAUUGAUGUUGCUAUGACUUUGCUAUGCUUAAUGCUUGUCACUAGGGCCCGAGUGCCAUGAUUUCAGAUCUGAACCUAUUAUGUUUUCAUCAAUAUAUGAGUGUUCUUGAUCCUAUCUUGCAAGUCUAUAGUCACCUAUUAUGUGUUGUGAUCCAUUAACCCCGAAGUGACAAUAAUCGAGAUACUUACCGGUGAUGACCGUGGUUUGAGGAGUUCAUGUAUUCACUAUGUGUUAAUGCUUUGUUCCAGUUCUCUAUUAAAAGGAGGCCUUAAUAUCCCUUAGUUUCCGUAAGGACCCCGCUGCCACGAGAGGGUAGGACAAAAGAUGUUAUGCAAGUUCUUUUCCAUAAGCACGUAUGACUAUAUUCGGAAUACAUGCCUACAUUAUAUCAAUGAACUGGAGCUAGUUCUGUGUCACCCUAGGUUAUGACUGUUACAUGAUGAACCGCAUCCGGCAUAAUUCUCCAUCACUGAUCCAUUGCCUGCAAGCUUUCCAUAUAUUGCUCUUCGCUUAUUUACUUUCCUGUUGCUAUUGCUAUCAUCACUACAAAAUAACAAAAACAUUGCUUUUACUACUGUUACCUUUUGCUACCGUUAUCACCACUAUCAUAUUACUUUGCUACUAAACACUUUGCUGCAGAUAUUAAGUUUCCAGGUGUGGUUGAAUUGACAACUCAGCUGCUAAUACUUGAGAAUAUUCUUUGGCUCCCCUUGUGUCGAAUCAAUAAAUUUGGGUUGAAUACUCUACCCUCAAAAACUGUUGCGAUCCCCUAUACUUAUGGGUUAUCAAUUGGCUAUAUCAUUAUCGUGCUAAAUUUUAACUGUGCCACCUAUUCCUUAUUACCGGAGCACAUCUUUUGACAAUAAGCUAAGGUUACGUCGAUUUCCUUGUCUUAUCGUUUCACCUCGAACCACAAACUUGAUUCUGUGUUUGUGUCGUACCCAUGGUUCCAAUAACCCUUCACUUCAUCAUUACUUUCACCUGAUGUCAUCGCUGAUUGAUUACAUCUUCAUGAAAUCUCUCGACAAAUGUGUCGUGAUCAUCAUCAACCUUAUGAGCUCUUCCAAGAUAUCAAUCGAAUUUAGGAUGAGAAAUACCAUCCUUGCCCUCAAUGAUUUGUGUUAUCAUCAGCCACUUUAUUGCCUUCCCUCCAACACAAACUUGUUCGUGUUUUGUGCUAUCCCUUGAGUUCCUUGCUAUCCAACAUUUGUUCUUCUUUACCUUGGAAUAUUACCACCUUUUAUGUCAAGAAUGUCGUGGGAAUUUUACUACCUCUUGAGAAUUCUUGAUACAAGUGAUACUUCUCACCAUCACCAUUCCUUCUUGGUCCCCGUGUUGUUUCCAACCGAAAAACCGACAAUUGAACUUGGUUGUGCGAAUUGAAAACCUCUAGCGACCCUAUUGCUUUGAAGUUAAUGGUCGACAUUUCAUUCUUAGACCAUUGGUUAUCGAAUCACCAUUCUAAACAUUGAUCAUGCUACUUAGGCCCAUAUUUUGGGUACACCUUUUCAACCAAUGUUUAAUUGUGUAUGUUUUCCUUGAGCAUACAUCAUUAUAUCAUUUGAUCUGACUAAUGUUAUCUCCUUGUUCACAUGAUUGUGGAAAUCCAUCCUUCUGGAAAUUUCGAUGGAUUGUCACUGAGUCUAUCAGCCACCUCCUCAUCCUCUCCUUGGUUUAAUGAUGAACUCUUGUUUCGAAACUCGCUUCCAUAGUUCAUUUCCCAAGGAUCUUACAUUGUCAUCUCGUCAAUUUGUGUUGCACAUUUUCUUCUGAGGCAUCCCGAGUCUGUGGUAUACUGACACCAAUCAAAUCCGAAUCUCGGUCAGAUAUGAUGGUUGAAACAUGAUUCCAAGAGUUAUAGCGCUGGUCUUUUAUGACCCGGUAAGGUGAUGUCAUGCCUAGCACACCUGGCCGGAGGACCUAUUGUUAUAGUUUCCUUUUUAGCAAGGUUAGCCAUUCUUCCAUGAGGAAAUUGUAAGGCUUAGUCUAUAAGUCGUUCCUGAUGGAUCCUUGUGUAUGCAAAGUCCGACCUUUGCUUGAAGGCCAUGUCAGUGAUAUCUCGAAGCAUGUCUGUGGUACUCCGAUUUUCAACAAGAACAUUUGAAUCCAAAUGGUAAAUGUUUCUUGCUCAAUUAUCCAAACACCGCCGUAUGGUUAAUUGCAUGAAAUUUCUCUCCCCUUUCCUAAAGGGUUUUCUAUGUUAUAUCCCGUCAUGGAUAUCAUGCUCUGCUUGCCCUUGGGAAGAAUAUACCCUGCAAUAUGUGUUUAAACACAUUUUCCUUUCCAUUGUUCUGUUUAGUCUGAUGAUCACCUUUUUCUUUCCAUUGCUUUGUUUAAUCUUUCUUGUGAUCUAUAUGAUCUAAGCAGUACUAAUUGACUGCUUAUGUAAACACCUCGGUGUGCAAUUCUGUCAGCAAGACCCUGUUACUAUUGUUGAUGACAUUUCGGUCGCCACUGAUGGAUGAGAACUUUGCCUAUUGGUCCGCCUCGUUCAACGAGCAAGAAAAUGGUUCUUUUCGCCCCUCGCCCUUGGUACCAAUGUUGUUGCCGACAUAACUGACAGGCUAUCCUCUGACAUGCCUUGCUUACAUAAUCAUGCAACACGUUACCGCCCUUCCUACUUUUAACCCACAUGGUGGGACAAUAACCCACAGUUCCAAAGGAUCGAAACCUGACUCUCCUGUACACCCACGGUUUCCAAAGUUAUCCCUCACGUGUGGCCUCGUAUGUAAUUCACGGGCCACCGUCCUAGCGAUCUAUUCUGGUAACAGACGCAAUACUCAAUCUCGUUGCUCUGGACCCCUUUCGCACGUUGUUUCAGACAUCGAACCAUUGCCAAUCAAUUUGAAACUUCUCAUGGUACCUUCUUACUUUGCUCUCGAUAUCUUCUUAAGUUUCAAUUCAAGAGAUAAUUAUGCUUCUUCCCCUGAGUUAACCGGCCGAUGCUCAAUUUUCUUAGAAUCCGUCAUUAUGGAGUUUUUCCCCUCUUAUCCUUUCAUAAGUACGGUGAAGAUCCUAAAGGAAGGAUGACAACUUAAUCGAGAUGCAUUGAUGCAUAGGAAUGAAGACAUCAACGCUAUGAAUCGACCUCUUCGAGAAGAGAAACUAAGACCGAGAAAAUUUGUUAGAAUUUCGUAAUCAAAUCCCUUCCCCCUUAAUCCCCUCUUAAAUCUUGGGACGCGAUUUCUUGUAGUGGAGGAGAAUUGUGACGCCCGGGUAAUUAAGCUACAGUGAACCUCUACUAAUGAUGCCAUGUCACCUCAGUUACUGCCGAUAAACUCACAUUAGUUUAAAACCGAUUCAAAUUUGAAUUUGAAUUAAAGUCAAACAAUAAAAGUUUUCAAACAUUAAAGCUAAAAUAUUCAGGAUGUGACAAAUAAAUCGUAGGCACGUAUGGUGAAGAAACCACAUUUUACCAAAAUGCCUAAAUGCUCUAAAAUAAACAAAAC
This 43698-nucleotide long non-coding RNA is filed under the name Triticum aestivum (bread wheat). RNAcentral describes it as "long non-coding RNA (TAES_LNC025619)". The stretch from base 30890 to 31023 matches the Rfam family "MIR1120/MIR1122 microRNA precursor family". Lineage: Eukaryota; Viridiplantae; Streptophyta; Magnoliopsida; Poales; Poaceae. The record is from RNAcentral.